Long non-coding RNA from Salvelinus fontinalis (brook trout), 2318 nucleotides. RefSeq lists it as uncharacterized. The transcript has 3 exons. NCBI's taxonomy places the organism in Eukaryota, Metazoa, Chordata, Actinopteri, Salmoniformes, Salmonidae. The record is from RefSeq and is a predicted model, not a curated record.
AGAUUUUAGAUAACCGCCUUGAUGACAGCUUUGGACACUCUUGGCUUUCUCUCAACCAGCUCAUGAGAGCGAGAGAGGGACCAAGAUAUUGACUGAUUGGAAAGUCUGUGGGCGAACGAUGAGUUACCCAUUGUGGGCAGGACGAAUGAGAUGGAGGACAGCAUUUACUGCAGAUGUAAACUGGAUGUCAUGAUUCAGCAUAGCCUAUCCAUGAGUGUGCUUCUGCUGGAGGUGCUCCCACAAGCAGCUGAUAGACCUGUUCAGAGAGAAUGUGGAAGACUGCGUAGCCAACAGCAGCCCAGGCCAUCCUGGCCAGCCCCUCAUACAGGUUAACACAAAGACGCAGGAUGGAGUUAAUUGAUACAUUCCCGAGUAAGGUUGCUAGGUAAUUGGUGUUGCUAAACGUACACUGGGUUUCUCUUUCCAAGACGUUGUUUGUGAGUUUCCAUGUACAGUGAGCUCAGUGUAGGGGAAAUCCAAUUCCUCUGUUUUGGUACAGUGAGAUGGAGAGUGGGGCAUGCGGUUGUUAGCUAUUCUAAGGUACCCUUGUAUCACUCACUACUAGAUGUCAGAGAUUGGGAUUCCAUUCCGUCAUUUACUUCCACAUAGAGGGUUUAGGUAAUAUGUAGAGCAGGGGUGUCAAACUCAUUUUGGCCCGCAGGUCGCAUUCGGUCUUCACCGAGGUCUGGAUGGCCGCACAUAAAAUGUAUUAUAUUUUCUCGCCAUAAAAAUUUGCAAACAAUAUCCUCUAUCCCAGGGUUUCCUAAACUCGGGUCCUGGGGACCCCCUGAGUGCACUGUUUUUUGCCCUAGCCCUACACAGCUGAUUCAAAUAACCUUGAUGAUGAUUUGGUUAUUUGAAUCAGCUUUGUAGUCAUUGGGUAAAAUCCAAAACGAGGGCUCCAGGACUGAGUUUGGGAAACCCUGCUCUAUCCAUUGCUUCUAGAAUUUCCAAUGCUCCCUGGUUGUCUAGCUUUCGUUUUGAUUACUGUUAGCAAGCUAGACAGCAUGAAGAGACUGUAAAUAUAGGUUCAUUUUAAUUUCUACACAGUUUCCAUUUGGUUUUAGUCAUUUCCAUUUCGAUUGAGAUUGUUUUUCCCCCAAAACAUAUUUUUCUAAUCAAAAUAAUUGAAAGGGUUCCGUAUGUUUGACACCUUAUUAAGGGAAGAACCCAAUGUAUAACAGUAGUUAGUCAUCCUCUUUUUGUGCAUUGGAAUUGCUUGCAUGUUUUAUUAGCUACUUUUCUUUGUCAUUAAGCCAGAGGGUGCAAUAUAAUCAUUAUGUAUUUGAUGAGAAACUCUGCUUUGCAGAAACUGGUCUGAUUCAGGACUUGGUGAGUACUUGACAGAUUACCAAAGAUGGGGUGAUUUAUUAUACGUUUGGAAAAGCGAUGCAGUGAUGCUGCAGUCCUUCCACACACCCACAGGACUACCACUCAGGUUGAUGUGUAACCUUCUUGUUUGGUUUUGAUCUCUAUCUGUCAUAUCUGCAACACUGCUGUAACGGUUGCUACUGAAGAAACAAAGUGGGCGAGCCACGUCACAUACAGUAGAGUGAAAUUCCUACUUCAAAAGGUCAUCAGUCAAAAUGAAGACAGGUAGUCAAAUCGGUUGUGGCUAGAUAGCCUACAUUAUGGAGUUCCAUGUUGCUAAGUAAUAGCUCAUACAGUAACUAAACUAAGCCAUUUUCUCAGAUCUGCUGGUCAUACCUUUUUUGAUGAUACUUUUUGAUGCAGAACGAGAUAUUUGCUUUUCCCUCUAAGUGAAAACAAGUUGUAAUUCAACACAUAACAAAUCAAAAUGUUCUACUUAUUAUUCAUAUAAUAAAAACGUAAAGCAAAAAAAAAAUCCAUCUCCUCCUAAAGAGAUACAUUAAGUAACUCAUCCAGUCUCUGUGCUUCUAAUUCUUAACUACACAGGAUGUCCCUGUGGACUAUUCUACUGGCAGGAACAAGUUAAAAGUAGAGAACUCUCAUCUGGUUUGAGUCAGAGCCCUGCAUUACCAACAGAGUUUAGGCGGUGAGGGUGAUUUCUGUAACGUGCAGUACUGUAGGCCUCUUUUGGUUUUGAUCGAAGGCCCAAACAGGCCAGGAAAUUGGGCUAAUCCCAGGUCUGAGAGGCACACGGGGACGUGAUCUUAGCGAUGGCUCGUGGACUCAACCACAUCAAAGAGUCCUGCUCAUGGGUAAAAGGGACUGACUGACUGAUGAAGGGACGAGCCAUGGCUUAAAGUCACUUAGGGAGUUGCUGGAGCUUCAAAGACUCAUCGCUGAGCACGCAACAGAUACAUAGACGCCGCAGAGAGAGACGGAGAGAGAGA